Molecule: ribosomal RNA, 507 nt
Filed under: uncultured bacterium
Lineage: Bacteria
Description: bacterial SSU rRNA
Rfam family: Bacterial small subunit ribosomal RNA
Source: RNAcentral
UAGUCCACGCCGUAAACGAUGAUAACUAGUUGUUUGCCAUACACCGUAAGCGACAAAGCGAAAGCAUUAAGUUAUCCACCUGGGGAGUACGUUGGCAACAAUGAAACUCAAAGGAAUUGACGGGGGCCCGCACAAGCGGAGGAACAUGUGGUUUAAUUCGAUGAUACGCGAGGAACCAUACCUGGACUUAAAUGUAGAUUGACAGGACUAGAGAUAGCUUUUUCUUCGGACAAUUUACAAGGUGCUGCAUGGUUGUCGUCAGCUCGUGCCGUGAGGUGUCGGGUUAAGUCCCAUAACGAGCGCAACCCACGUCGUUAGUUACUAACAGGUUAAGCUGAGGACUCUAGCGAGACUGCCGGUGUAAACCGCGAGGAAGGUGUGGAUGACGUCAAAUCAGCACGGCCCUUAUGUCCAGGGCUACACACGUGUUACAAUGGCUAGUACAAAGGGCAGCUAUCUGGCAACAGAAUGCUAAUCUCGAAAACUAGUCUCAGUUCGGAUCGAAGU